UCUGAAUCCCUACCGGCAGGCAAUAAAACUAAAAGCCCACAGGAUGUCGUCUUGUUCCGAGGGAACUAAAAAUACUGCUGGGGGACUGGUGGAAUGUCUCGCCAUGGGGGAUGUUUUAUUGCGAUCGGACGGAAAGUUAAUUUUGGAGCUCCACGGUUCACGGGGACACAGAUUCGAAAACGGUCACGUGCCACCUCGGGACGCAGGAUCGCGGAAGCUGGUGCAACGUUGCGCGCAGUUUGCAGCAGUGGGAGUACGAGAAUUUGGGGAAUAAUCGUUGCCCAUGCGAUAUGGGGAUUACAGAUUGCUACGUGUUGCGAGACGUUUACCAAGCUGUUGAAUCAUCGUGCACGAUGCAGCGGUUGACGCCAACCGGAAUAUGACGCAACUGAAAACCACGUGUGUGCAAUUCGGCGGGAUACUACGUGAUCUUGAUCAUGAUUCUCCGUACCCGCUUCCGAUUGGUCCUCUUCAGCCUCUCUUUCACCUGGUCUAGUGUCGUCUCUUCUUGGACCAGUGUUUCUCAAACUGAAGAAAUUUCGGUUUAAACCUUCGAAUAUUUCGGUUUCUGGCAAUUAUAGAGACAUUGACAUAAUUCAAGGCCUCAGUUUAUUGCUAUAUUAUAGGCGACAUAAAAAUCUUUGAAGUGUAGGCGUGAAUCGUGAUUCAAGAAACGUUAAGAAACACUGUCCUAGACGAACUCCCGCUAUACACAUAGACGAGUUCUCGUGCGGGAUGACGUGACGAAAAACACGUCUGACCGAUCCUCCGAGUUAAUUCCGGCUGCUCGUAAACGUGAUCCGAGUUAUU
Long non-coding RNA from Nomia melanderi (Alkali bee), 810 nucleotides. RefSeq lists it as uncharacterized. NCBI's taxonomy places the organism in Eukaryota, Metazoa, Arthropoda, Insecta, Hymenoptera, Halictidae. The record is from RefSeq and is a predicted model, not a curated record.